Molecule: ribosomal RNA, 440 nt
Filed under: uncultured bacterium
Lineage: Bacteria
Description: partial 16S ribosomal RNA
Rfam family: Bacterial small subunit ribosomal RNA
Source: RNAcentral
CCUACGGGUGGCAGCAGUGGGGAAUAUUGCACAAUGGGGGAAACCCUGAUGCAGCGACGCCGCGUGAGUGAAGAAGUAUCUCGGUACGUAAAGCUCUAUCAGCAGGAAAGAAAAUGACGGUACCUGACUAAGAAGCCCCGGCUAACUACGUGCCAGCAGCCGCGGUAAUACGUAGGGGGCAAGCGUUAUCCGGAUUUACUGGGUGUAAAGGGAGCGUAGACGGCGCUGCAAGUCCGGAGUGAAAGCCCAUGGCUUAACCAUGGUACUGCUAUGGAAACUGUAGAGCUUGAGUGCGGGAGGGGCAGGCGGAAUUCCUAGUGUAGCGGUGAAAUGCGUAGAUAUCUGGAGGAACAUCAGUGGCGAAGGCGACUAUCUGGCACAUAACUGACGCUGAGGAGCGAAAGCGUGGGUAGCAAACAGGAUUAGAUACCCGAGUAGUC